This 454-nucleotide ribosomal RNA is filed under the name Scutellinia ampullacea. RNAcentral's name for it is "eukaryotic LSU rRNA". The stretch from base 159 to 312 matches the Rfam family "5.8S ribosomal RNA". The record is from RNAcentral. Lineage: Eukaryota; Fungi; Ascomycota; Pezizomycetes; Pezizales; Pyronemataceae.
UCUGCGUACCUUACCUGUUGCUUCCGCUGGGCAGUGAUCUCGGUCACCUGCGAACCGGAUGGCGCGAGCCGUUCGGUGGUAGAGUCCUCGCGAAUGGUCUACAUCAAACCCUUGCAUUUCUAUGUCAUCUGUCUGAACCUGUUUAUAACAAAUGUUAAAACUUUCAACAACGGAUCUCUUGGUUCUCGCAUCGAUGAAGAACGCAGCGAAAUGCGAUAAGUAGUGUGAAUUGCAGAAUUCAGUGAAUCAUCGAAUCUUUGAACGCACAUUGCGCCUCCUGGUAUUCCGGGAGGCAUGCCUGUUCGAGCGUCAUUAAAAACCACUCAAGCUCUUUUUGCUUGGUAUUGGGAGAUCGGAGCGUACCACGAUGGCGCUCCCUCCCGAAAUCCAAUGGCGGAAAGCCUCAGGUGCCCCGGCGUAGUAAGUUUUCUUUCGCUCGGAACCAGAGGGAUCC